AUGAUGGCCAUGCCCCCCUCUUCGACAACCGUGGAGCCGACGGCGGUGGCGCCGGCGCCCCUCCCGCGGCUUCCGAUUCUGAACCCGCUACCGCUGUCACUGUUUGCCGAGAGCGGCCGGGGCGCGAGGCUGGGCCACCACGCCUACAGCCGCAAGAAGAAGUCACUCGGCCUGCUCUUCUCCAACUUCGUGGCCCUGUACGACCGGGAUGGCAUGGAGUUCAUCGGGCUGGACAAUGCAUCUAGGCGCCUCGGCGUCGAGAGGUGCCACAUCUACGACAUCGUCAACGUGCUCGAGAGCGUCGGGAUCCUUGCGAGGAAGGCCACAACAAGGAGCAGGAGCGCCUCCGCGUCAACAAGGAGCUCGGCAACAUCCGCACCCGCUUCAAGAACAAAAAGAAAGGUACCUGCAGGGUGCAUUUGA
Molecule: ribosomal RNA, 423 nt
Filed under: Triticum aestivum (bread wheat)
Lineage: Eukaryota; Viridiplantae; Streptophyta; Magnoliopsida; Poales; Poaceae
Description: partial small subunit ribosomal RNA
Source: RNAcentral